UAAGUUUUAGGUGCUUUCUGUUGAAAGCUUAAAAGGGAAAGUGGUGAAAAGCCAUUGCAGCCCCGCUACUGUAUACGUGGACAAAAUUCUAUUGCCACUGAGGAUAUUAUUAUAUAUCUUUGGGAAGGAGGAUGGAGGAUGAAACGUGAGCCAGGAGACCUGCCUAGAGACU
This 172-nucleotide non-coding RNA is filed under the name Clostridium amazonitimonense. The record is from RNAcentral. Lineage: Bacteria; Bacillati; Bacillota; Clostridia; Eubacteriales; Clostridiaceae.